Molecule: long non-coding RNA, 194 nt
Organism: Humulus lupulus (European hop)
Lineage: Eukaryota; Viridiplantae; Streptophyta; Magnoliopsida; Rosales; Cannabaceae
Exons: 3
Source: RefSeq, a predicted model, not a curated record
CAGUCUAUACUUGAUGACUUGAGAAACCGUGUACAGCUGAGCAGUGUUGCUCUGCCAUCCGUUAGUUUUUAUACAUUUAUCAAUGCACAUAAUGGUUUAAACUGUUCAACUAUAUCCCCUGAUGGGUCAUUGGUUGCUGCUGGAUUUUCAGAUUCAUCGCUGAAGAUUUGGGAUAUGGCAAAGCUUGGGUAACA